CUCGUAGGUGGCCAACUAAGUCAGACGUGAAAUCCCUCGGCUUAACCGGGGAACUGCGUCUGAUACUGGAUGGCUUGAGGUUGGGAGAGGGAUGCGGAAUUCCAGGUGUAGCGGUGAAAUGCGUAGAUAUCUGGAGGAACACCGGUGGCGAAGGCGGCAUCCUGGACCAAUUCUGACGCUGAGGAGCGAAAGCCAGGGGAGCAAACG
Molecule: ribosomal RNA, 207 nt
Filed under: uncultured bacterium
Lineage: Bacteria
Description: partial 16S ribosomal RNA
Rfam family: Bacterial small subunit ribosomal RNA
Source: RNAcentral